AAGCGUGCGCAGGCGGUUAUACAAGACAGGCGUGAAAUCCCCGGGCUUAACCUGGGAAUGGCGCCUGUGACUGUAUAGCUAGAGUGUGUCAGAGGGGGGUAGAAUUCCACGUGUAGCAGUGAAAUGCGUAGAUAUGUGGAGGAAUACCAAUGGCGAAGGCAGCCCCCUGGGAUAACACUGACGCUCAUGCACGAAAGCGUGGGGAGCAAACAGGAUUAGAUACCCCGGGU
RNAcentral lists this ribosomal RNA (230 nucleotides) under uncultured bacterium. RNAcentral describes it as "partial 16S ribosomal RNA". It matches the Rfam family "Bacterial small subunit ribosomal RNA", at positions 563 to 792 of the family's 1533-position model. The record is from RNAcentral.